GGAAAUUAAAUAAGAUAUCAGAGACCACAUAGAUCAUAGAUCAUAAAUGCUUCCAAGGACACAAAAGCAAAAGCAUAAGAAGUGUUUAACUCCUGAAUUCCUUGUACUUAGAUGAGAACUAGAAUAUGCAUACCUCAACAGUAUGGAGAACCACAAGCUUCAAUUGUUGCUGCUUUUCACUUCCUAGCAGUCCCCUGCACAUCAUCACUGUUUUGCCUCUUGCUUCCGAACACCCUGGAUCUCAUGGAGCCCUACAAAAACCGCACUAUCACACUGUAAAUAAGCUCACAGUAGCACAACUAUGA
This 305-nucleotide long non-coding RNA is filed under the name Fukomys damarensis (Damara mole-rat). Its description in RNAcentral is "lncRNA (ENSFDAG00000027702.1)". The record is from RNAcentral. Lineage: Eukaryota; Metazoa; Chordata; Mammalia; Rodentia; Bathyergidae.